This 468-nucleotide ribosomal RNA is filed under the name uncultured bacterium. RNAcentral describes it as "partial 16S ribosomal RNA". It matches the Rfam family "Bacterial small subunit ribosomal RNA", at positions 28 to 507 of the family's 1533-position model. The record is from RNAcentral.
GACGAACGCUGGCGGCGUGCUUAACACAUGCAAGUCGAACGGAAAGGCCCUGCUUUUGUGGGGUGCUCGAGUGGCGAACGGGUGAGUAACACGUGAGUAACCUGCCCUUGACUUUGGGAUAACUUCAGGAAACUGGGGCUAAUACCGGAUAGGAGCUCCUGCUGCAUGGUGGGGGUUGGAAAGUUUCGGCGGUUGGGGAUGGACUCGCGGCUUAUCAGCUUGUUGGUGAGGUAGUGGCUUACCAAGGCUUUGACGGGUAGCCGGCCUGAGAGGGUGACCGGCCACAUUGGGACUGAGAUACGGCCCAGACUGCUACGGGAGGCAGCAGGGGGGAAUAUUGCACAAUGGGCGGAAGCCUGAUGCAGCAACGCCGCGUGCGGGAUGACGGCCUUCGGGUUGUAAACCGCUUUCGCCUGUGACGAAGCGUGAGUGACGGUAAUGGGUAAAGAAGCACCGGCUAACUACGUG